RNAcentral lists this transfer RNA (74 nucleotides) under Haemaphysalis longicornis (longhorned tick). It matches the Rfam family "tRNA". From Rfam's summary of the family: Transfer RNA (tRNA) molecules are approximately 80 nucleotides in length. Their secondary structure includes four short double-helical elements and three loops (D, anti-codon, and T loops). The record is from Rfam by way of RNAcentral. Lineage: Eukaryota; Metazoa; Arthropoda; Arachnida; Ixodida; Ixodidae.
CCGCCGGUAGCAUAGUGGUCAUCGCACCAGACCGGUAUUCUGGAGGUCGUGGGUUCGAUACCCCACCCGGCGGG